GACGAACGCUGGCGGCGUGCUUAACACAUGCAAGUCGAGCGGUAAGGCCCUUUCGGGGGUACACGAGCGGCGAACGGGUGAGUAACACGUGGGUGACCUGCCCUCAGCUCUGGGAUAAGCCUGGGAAACCGGGUCUAAUACUGGAUAUGACUCCAUGACGCAUGUUGUGGGGUGAAAGCCUUGUGCGGCUGAGGAUGGGCCCGCGGCCUAUCAGCUUGUUGGUGGGGUGANGGCCCUACCAAGGCGACGACGGGUAGCCGGCCUGAGAGGGCGACCGGCCACACUGGGACUGAGACACGGCCCAGACUCCUACGGGAGGCAGCAGUGGGGAAUCUUGCGCAAUGGGCGAAAGCCUGACGCAGCGACGCCGCGUGAGGGAUGACGGCC
This 387-nucleotide ribosomal RNA is filed under the name uncultured bacterium. RNAcentral's name for it is "bacterial SSU rRNA". It matches the Rfam family "Bacterial small subunit ribosomal RNA", at positions 28 to 416 of the family's 1533-position model. The record is from RNAcentral.